CGGCGGACGGGUGAGUAACACGUGGAUAACCUACCUAUAAGACUGGGACAACUUCGGGAAACCGGAGCUAAUACCGGAUAAUAUAUUGAACCGCAUGGUUCAAUAGUGAAAGACGGUUUUGCUGUCACUUAUAGAUGGAUCCGCGCCGCAUUAGCUAGUUGGUAAGGUAACGGCUUACCAAGGCAACGAUGCGUAGCCGACCUGAGAGGGUGAUCGGCCACACUGGAACUGAGACACGGUCCAG
This 244-nucleotide ribosomal RNA is filed under the name uncultured Staphylococcus sp. RNAcentral's name for it is "partial 16S ribosomal RNA". It matches the Rfam family "Bacterial small subunit ribosomal RNA", at positions 96 to 334 of the family's 1533-position model. Lineage: Bacteria; Bacillati; Bacillota; Bacilli; Caryophanales; Staphylococcaceae. The record is from RNAcentral.